GAGGUAAGGCCUUUGGGAUAUAAUUAGAUUAUGAAGAUGAAGCUGUUAUAAAUGGGAUUAGUGCUCUUAUCAAAGGAGACACAGAGCGCUCUCUUGCCCUCUUUCUGCUAUGAGACUGCAAUGAAAAGUUGGCAGUCUGCAACCUGAAAGAAGGUCUUCACCUAGGACCCAACUAUGCUGACACUGAUCACAGACUCCCAGCUUCAAGAACGAUGGAGAUGGAGUCCCUCUCUGUCACCCAGGCAGAAGUGCAGUGGCGCAGUCUUGGCUCAGUGCAACCUCUGCCUCCUGGGUUCAACGGAUUCUCCUGCCUCACCCUCCUUAGUAGCUGGGAUUACAGCCCGUCUAAUUUUUGUAUUUUUUAGUAGAGAGGGGGGUUUCACCAUGUUGACCAGGCUGGUCUUGAACCCCUGACCUCAAGUGAUCCACCUGCCUUGGCCUUCCAAAGUGCUGGGAUUACAGGCUAGAGCCACUGUGCCUGGCCUAAAUUUCAUACUAUACGCAUUUACCCUCUAUUUAAUAUAAUACACCAAAUAAAGGUAUAGAAUAUCAAGAAACAAUAUGGAAUAAUUUCUUAUAUACAAAAACUUUAAAAUUAGUUAAGAAAACAAGUGAAAUAAACAUAAGAAAAAAGUUAAUAACUUUGGACAGUGAUAAAUUGUGUGGCACAGAUAAAUUUUAAUAAGAAUUAAGCUUAUUUAGACAUCUAGUUACAUUUAAGACAUCAUGGGUGAAAGAAGAUUACAGUUAAAACUUGACUCUCUCUUAAGUAAAACAAAGAAAGAUGUAAUAGCAUAAGAAAAACUAAAUGUCCUUCUGGUGUCAAG
RNAcentral lists this long non-coding RNA (827 nucleotides) under Homo sapiens (human). RNAcentral's name for it is "HSALNT0373901". The record is from RNAcentral. Lineage: Eukaryota; Metazoa; Chordata; Mammalia; Primates; Hominidae.